RNAcentral lists this ribosomal RNA (1235 nucleotides) under metagenome. Its description in RNAcentral is "bacterial LSU rRNA". It matches the Rfam family "Bacterial large subunit ribosomal RNA", at positions 1564 to 2808 of the family's 2925-position model. The record is from RNAcentral.
UGAAUACGAGACGCUACGGCGUCGAAGCAGUCUAUGUCAUACUUCCAAGAAAAGCUUGCACUGUCAUAAACAAAUAAUGCCUGUACCAUAACCGACACAGGUGGGUAGGUAGAGUAUACUAAGGGGCGCGAGAUAACUCUCUCUAAGGAACUCGGCAAAAUGACUCCGUAACUUCGGGAGAAGGAGUGCCUUAUUUAUUAAGGUUGCAAUAACAAGAUCCAAGCAACUGUUUACCAAAAACACAGGUCUCCGCUAAGUCGUAAGACGAUGUAUGGGGGCUGACGCCUGCCCAGUGCCAGAAGGUUAAAGAAGUUGGUUAGCAUUGCGAAGCUGAUGACUGAAGCCCUGGUGAACGGCGGCCGUAACGAUAACGGUCCUAAGGUAGCGAAAUUCCUUGUCGGGUAAGUUCCGACCCGCACGAAAGGCGUAAUGAUUUGGAUACUGUCUCGGAGAGGGGCUCGGUGAAAUAGACUUGUCUGUGAAGAUGCGGACUACCUGCACCUGGACAGAAAGACCCUAUGAAGCUUUACUGUAACUUGAGAUUGAAAUUGGACUUUAUUUGCGCAGUAUAGGUGGGAGACGUUGAGAAUAUUCUUGCGGGAAUAUUGGAGUCAUCAGUGAGAUACCACUCUUGUAAUGUUAGAUUUCUAACUUUGUAUCAUUAUCUGGUCAAAGAACAGUUUCAGGCGGGCAGUUUGACUGGGGCGGUCGCCUCCCAAACGGUAACGGAGGCGCACAAAGGUUUCCUCUGAACGUGUAGAAAUCGUAUCUAGAGUGUAAAGGCAUAAGGAAGCUUGACUGUGAGACCUACAAGUCGAGCAGGGACGAAAGUCGGUCUUAGUGAUCUGACGGUGCUGAGUGGAAAGGCCGUCACUCAACGGAUAAAAGUUACUCUAAGGAUAACAGGCUGAUCUCCCCCAAGAGUUCACAUCGACGGGGAGGUUUGGCACCUCGAUGUCGGCUCAUCGCAUCCUGGGGCGGUAGUACGUCCCAAGGGUUGGGCUGUUCGCCCAUGAAAGCGGUACGCGAGCUGGGUUCAGAACGUCGUGAGACAGUUCGGUCCAUAUCCGGUGUAGGCGUUAGAAUAUUGAGAGGAGCCUUCUUUAGUACGAGAGGACCGAGAAGGACAUACCUCUGGUGUACCAGUUAUCGUGCCAACGGUAAACGCUGGGUAGCUAUGUAUGGAGAGGAUAACCGCUGAAAGCAUCUAAGUGGGAAGCCCACCUCAAGAUAAG